Molecule: long non-coding RNA, 1817 nt
Filed under: Sus scrofa (pig)
Lineage: Eukaryota; Metazoa; Chordata; Mammalia; Artiodactyla; Suidae
Description: lncRNA (ENSSSCG00005005186.1)
Source: RNAcentral
CUGACAUGUGCCUUAAAAAAAAAAAAAGGACAACGUUUGACCCUUAGACUCUGAGAAAGAAAUGUUUAAUUUUCUUUUAUAUGAAAGCCCAGCUCUAUAUAACCUGUUGGACAGGGAGCGAUGGCCAUCUGAAGCCUCUCUAGAUUAUAAUAUUGUUCUCCAAUUAGUCCUGUUUUGUACAUGAGAAGGGAAAUGGUCAGAGGUGCCUUAUGUUCAGAUCUUUACGAUAAGGAAAGACGUUGAGGGACUGAAAGUCGAUGAGUAAAGCCCAUUAGCUACUCCAAACUCAGAGGCUUGUCAAGGGAAAUGAGAGUCCAUCGGCUUUCUUAGAAAGACUCAGAGAGGCAUUGAGGAAGCAGACGCCAGUAGACCCAGAAUCACUGGGGGCCAAAUAAUUCUUAAAGGCAGAUUCAUAAGUCAGUCUGUGCCACAUAUACAGAGAAAGCUCUAAAAAUUGGCUUUUGCCCCUGAUCAGGACCUAGAGCUCCUCCUUAGAGUAGCAACUCAAGUAUAUAAUAAUUGGGACCAGGAAGAAUGAAAGGAGAACAGAAGGAGAGACAGGGAAAAGGGUGAGGCUCUGGUUAUGGCGCUACAGGGAGUCAACCUGGAAGCUUCCAAGGUGACAGGGCUAGGGCAGAGACCUAAGCCUGGAGCCUGUUUCGUCUGUGGAAAAGAGGGACACUAUCUCCUUUCUUUUGUUUUCUCUUUCUUUUCUUUUCUUUCCUUUUCUCUUUCUUUCUUUCUUUCUUUCUUUCUUUCUUUCUUUCUUUCUUUCUUUCUUUCUUCUUUCUUUUCCUUUCUUCUUUUUUUUAGGGCCACGUAUGGAGGUUCCCAGGCUAGGGGUCCAAUCGGAACCAACGGCGGGAUCCAAGCCACAUCUGUGACCUACACCACAGCUCACAGCAAUGCCAGAUCCUUAACCCACUGAGCAAGGCCAGGGAUCAAACCCGAGUCCUCAUGGAUGCUAGUCAGAAUGUGUCCGACUGCCUGCGAGAUCUCCGGCAGCAGAUUCAUGAGAUGUCCGAUCCAGCUCCAGCUUUUGGAGCUGCCCUCUGGAACUGCUUGACCUCCUCCUCCUGGUGGAAACAUUUCCUCACCAUAGUCAUCAUCGUGGUUUUGAUCAUUUUAUUCAGACCCUGUAUAAGUAAUUGUAUUUCUUGUUUCAUUACAUCCCAGUUAGAACCUGUCAACCUUCAAGUGGUGAUAGAAGGGGUACCCAAUGUAAUGUAUCAAAGCCCACUCGACCGUCUCACGAGUGGAGACCUAACUGCUUUCCCCUAACGACACCGCUUUUCAGGCAGUCAGAGUGGUCAUCACCCCCUCCCCCCCGCAAUUAGAGUCUCCAACUCUAGAAGAGGGGAUUGAGGCAGAAUACUAAGUCAGGUCAUCAUGUAGGAGCAUGGGCUUCGAUGCAUUCUUUGAUACGGUUAUUGAUGAACAUUUGUGGCUUAAGGGCUCCGGGGAGUAACAUCCCCACAGGCCUUGUUUACUGUAGGGAGUGUGCCUACCCCCAGAUGAACAUGAAUCCCUAGCUCUCCUGUGACUCAGUGUAUGGGAAGAAAAGGGCAAAGAAACCGUGAGACUUAUGGGGCAUUUCCACCCCUAAGGCCCCUAUUGGACAAGGACUAAUACAGGAAACUGGGCAAGGCCAAUGGGAGAAAACCACAUCUUGCUGGAUCCCACGUUGGUAUCCCCCCAUCUUUAAGGGAUAAAAGCCCCUAUCAGACAAUAGAGAGAGAGGGGGCUCUUCUUCCCUCUCCCAGCUGUCCUGGGAGCUGUUUGCUUUCCUGUAAUAAAGACUUUGCUGGCUUGCUUGC